AAAAUCCACAGAUAAUCGCACAAGGCAUUCUAAAUUUUUAAAUACCACAAUUAUCACAAUAAUGAAAAUAAAGCUAGGGAUAUUGAAAAGUGUAAGGCAGUAGCGCUCUAUCUCUCCGGUAUUGUUCAAUGGAUAGGGAUGCUCCUAGGCAUUAUUGUUAUCUUGAAAGAAAAUCUGGCUUGAAUGAAUUCUUUGGUCAUAGGAAGCGUCGGAGCUCCUUGAACCUACAUAUUGCACCCUUUGUGUUAGUCAAGAUCGAAAAAUAGCUAGGCAUUGGUAAUCAGGAAUGUACCUUUUAGUCAAGUUCUUUGCUCCGUUGAUGUCUGGGUUGAAGUAUUAUCCGAGGCUGAUUAGUCGUAAAAGAAUUUGCAUCUGCAGACAACGUAAAAUACAAUAGCAGGAAGCUAGAAGCAAAAUAGUUAAGUGCAUACAAUCAGAGGGAUGUUGCCUCCAGAAAUCCCUAGCGAGAGACACUGGUCUUCUACCCCACAUUACAUAUGUCAAAAGAUAGUACGCAUAAUUUUAACUCAUUUAGUUAUCUAGCUGACCAGAUCAAUUGUAAGCAUUACAUGGUUCUUAUUUCAGUGAAAAGGAAUUUCGUUGAAUAGUGAAAUUAAUUGGUAUAAAAGAACCAUAACAUGGGUUGUGCUUAAACCACAAAAGAUUUUUAUAGGAGAUCAGAAUAAAAUACGUGUAAUAACUCACUAAGAAUCUUCUCUGUUCUUACUAUUUAGGGAUACCAACUCUUUGAGUAACAGAGUAAUAAUAGGACAUUGCGUAGCUCAAUUCACGUGAGCUAGAUUGACACACUAUUGCUGCAGCCAGAGGUGACAUCCAAUGCAAUGGGCGGGGUGAAAUUCUUGACAACAGCCUGCAAUCAGGUAAUGAAGGACCAUUUGAUGACUAUAAACUUGAUAGUAAAGACAUCUUCAACCUUUGGAAAAUUAGAUACAGAUCAAAAAAACCUAUGGCCUCAUCCCGGACAUUAAUAUUAAAACCAUCAUUUUAGAUUUCUGAAGUUGCAACAUAUUUCAUGGAAGUUGCUAUAUGAAGAUAAACCUUACAAUCAGAAUUUUUUU
This 1079-nucleotide long non-coding RNA is filed under the name Triticum aestivum (bread wheat). Its description in RNAcentral is "long non-coding RNA (TAES_LNC028069)". Lineage: Eukaryota; Viridiplantae; Streptophyta; Magnoliopsida; Poales; Poaceae. The record is from RNAcentral.